CAAGUCAUGAAGUUUCCUACAAGUUACAACAAGGCAAAAAGUGACUACUAUUCAGAAGCAGUUUUUCCAGUACUGCAGAUUUCCAGGAGUUGCUGUUGAUGGGACACAUGCUUACAUCAGGAGCCCUGGUGGGGCAAGAGCCAGGUACUACUUCAAUAGGAAGAACAGGUACUCCAUCGAUGUUCAGGUUGUCUGUGAUUAUGCUGGGAAAAUAACUAGUAUCGUUGCAAGGUGGCCUGGACUGGUAGCAGCCACGAUGCCAGGAUCUUUUCUGAGUGUGCACUGAAUUGACAGCUUGAUGCUAGGGCAUAUGAAUAACAGUUGAUUCUUGGAGAUAGACUAUAGGGUAUCCAUGCCUUCUCUGCCUCAUCAGAAGCCAUUUCUUCAUUCAGAGGGUCGACCACAGAUGUGCUUUAAAGGCCAUCUGUACUAGUUCAGCCAAAGAGGAUUAGACAACCCAGCAAGGUCACUGAUGGGAGGCUAUCUCAU
Strongylocentrotus purpuratus (purple sea urchin) is the source of this 489-nucleotide long non-coding RNA. RefSeq lists it as uncharacterized. Lineage: Eukaryota; Metazoa; Echinodermata; Echinoidea; Camarodonta; Strongylocentrotidae. The transcript has 3 exons. The record is from RefSeq and is a predicted model, not a curated record.